RNAcentral lists this transfer RNA (73 nucleotides) under Deltaproteobacteria bacterium. RNAcentral describes it as "tRNA-Thr". It matches the Rfam family "tRNA". From Rfam's summary of the family: Transfer RNA (tRNA) molecules are approximately 80 nucleotides in length. Their secondary structure includes four short double-helical elements and three loops (D, anti-codon, and T loops). Lineage: Bacteria; Pseudomonadati; Myxococcota; Myxococcia. The record is from RNAcentral. RNAcentral also lists the same sequence under 5 other names.
GCCACCGUAGCUCAGUUGGUAGAGCAACGGUUUCGUAAACCGUAGGUCGUUGGUUCGAAUCCAAUCGGUGGCU